GAUCAUGGCUCAGGACGAACGCUGGCGGCGUGCUUAACACAUGCAAGUCGAACGGUGAAGCACCUUCCUUUUGGUGGGUGUGGAUGAGUGGCGAACGGGUGAGUAACACGUGAGUAACCUGCCCCCUUCUUCUGGAUAACCGCAUGAAAGUGUGGCUAAUACGGGAUAUUCUGUGCCUGCUGCAUGGUGGGUGUGGGAAAGAUAUUGUUUCGGUGGGGGAUGGGCUCGCGGCCUAUCAG
RNAcentral lists this ribosomal RNA (239 nucleotides) under uncultured bacterium. RNAcentral describes it as "partial 16S ribosomal RNA". It matches the Rfam family "Bacterial small subunit ribosomal RNA", at positions 15 to 244 of the family's 1533-position model. The record is from RNAcentral.